This 379-nucleotide unclassified non-coding RNA is filed under the name Hevea brasiliensis (rubber tree). Lineage: Eukaryota; Viridiplantae; Streptophyta; Magnoliopsida; Malpighiales; Euphorbiaceae. The record is from RNAcentral.
GGUCCACCCGAUGCUUUCCUCUCCAAGUUCCUGAGAGAUAUUAAGGACAUGAAUGAUCACAAACAAGAGAGACACAUGGGAGUGGUAGAUCCAAGCGAGAUAAAGUUGGAUGUCAAGCAAUAUUACAGAUAUUUGGGUUCCCUCACUGUUCCUCCUUGCACCGAAGGUGUUAUUUGGACCAUAAGCAAGAAGAUAAUGACUGUUUCAGAAGGCCAAGUUAAAGCUCUCAGAGAUGCCGUCCAUGAUUAUGCGGCAAGAAAUGCAAGACCAGUUCAACCACUCAAUAAACGAGAGAUCAAGCUCUAUGGAGCAGAGGAUUAAUCAUCAGCAUUAUGCAAUCAUUCAAUUUUAUUUUUUUUUAUGAUGGUCCAAAUAACAC